Molecule: long non-coding RNA, 657 nt
Organism: Perca flavescens (yellow perch)
Lineage: Eukaryota; Metazoa; Chordata; Actinopteri; Perciformes; Percidae
Exons: 3
Source: RefSeq, a predicted model, not a curated record
CUUCUGCUCUCAGGUGACUGAUUCACUUCAAGCCCUGUCCUCCUGACUUCCAUUUGAUACACAGACAAAGAAGAUUCAAUUUGCUUCGCCAGACGGUCUCACGAAAGAAUAACUCUGGUCCACAAGCAAGAAAGCAUUCCAGGAUGGAGCGUGUGUCUGGAAGCCCUGUCCGUUAGUUAACAUUUAUACAUGCAUUUAAGAAACCAGAGUCAUAUUCCAACCAUGGAACUACUUACAUUCAACCUGGUGCAUAUCACGUGACUGUUCUGAUGUGUUUUUUCAGAUCAGUAGACAUCACUGCCUCCACCACCUGCAUCAACUUUUCCUGACAAGCCUUAGAGGUUCGACAGGAGGUACUGCCAUCCGUCGCAUGCUACGGCGAGUGGCAACCAAUGACGUUUCUAAAUCAGUAUAGCCUGUGGGGCAGAAAGGCAAAAAAGGCCUUCCAGGACCUGACAAUCUGCAGGGUUAUAACAUGCAGGUGUUAUUUAAUUGUUCACAUUUUAUUUUUUAUUAAAGCAAUUGUAUUUGUGCCACUUUGGCCAUUCACCUACACAUUACAUACUUCAUCAUUCCAAUAUGCAUCUUGCACACUACGUUUGCACUAUUUAUUUGCACUACAUCCUUUUAUCUUUUUUGUAAUAUAUAUAUGCCUGU